GGAGAAAUGGCAGAGUGGUCGAAUGCGGCGGUCUUGAAAACCGUUGUACCGCAAGGUACCGGGGGUUCGAAUCCCUCUUUCUCCGCCA
RNAcentral lists this transfer RNA (88 nucleotides) under Bacteroidota bacterium. Its description in RNAcentral is "Bacteroidetes bacterium (sediment metagenome) tRNA-Ser". It matches the Rfam family "tRNA". Rfam says of the family: Transfer RNA (tRNA) molecules are approximately 80 nucleotides in length. Their secondary structure includes four short double-helical elements and three loops (D, anti-codon, and T loops). Further hydrogen bonds mediate the characteristic L-shaped molecular structure. tRNAs have two regions of fundamental functional importance: the anti-codon, which is responsible for specific mRNA codon recognition, and the 3' end, to which the tRNAs corresponding amino acid is attached (by aminoacyl-tRNA synthetases). tRNAs cope with the degeneracy of the genetic code in two manners: having more than one tRNA (with a specific anti-codon) for a particular amino acid; and 'wobble' base-pairing, i.e. permitting non-standard base-pairing at the 3rd anti-codon position. RNAcentral also lists the same sequence under 11 other names. The record is from RNAcentral. Lineage: Bacteria; Pseudomonadati; Bacteroidota.